CAAGAGUUUCACUAAUUUGGUACAUGUGACAAUAAUAAACCAAUUUACCAGUUGGUGUUUGGGGUCGGAGGAUCCUGUCCAUAAUUAAGCUUCAGAAUAAUCCUUAUAUCUAUAAACUAAAUAUUAAUAAAUGAUGGUCUUUUAGAACAGGAUUCAUUAAGAAACACAUCCCAGAAAGAUACAUGUUUUGCUCAAUAUGGUAAAUGCAUAAUCUAAACCAACAUCAUAAUCUGCGGUUUGUAUGGACAGAACUCUUGAUCAAUACUUGCAUUCUUCCUUUGUGCCAGCUUUUAAAAGGGAAACAAGGGGGCCAGGAAUUAACAUGUACGAUCAUUUUUAUUUUAAGUGAGUCGCGUACAUGUAUCGUGGUGGCAUGAUUAUGAAUGCAAUUUACAUACUUUUACAUAUAACCCACAAUGCAUUAUUUAAACAACAAAGAAUGCUUAAACAAUAUAUUUACAAUAUUACUCAAAUAUUCUGAAAUAUUAAAUACACAACACUCUUCCCUGCUUAGCUAUAAACUCCAACUCAAUAUAGAAUGUAUCUCAACUUGACAUUGACAAUUCCAUUGGUCAGAGUUGACCAUGGAUAUUGCACCCUAGCUGCCUAGAUAUGUAAGCCUGGGCAGUACGAUAUGGAGAGCAAGCUCCCCCCUCUCCACACAUCUGACGAACCCAAAGGAACAGCAGGGACCAAUACAGUUUGGAUACCCACCUCCUCCAAAUCAGUAUUUAGUAGAUGAACCUUUGGAAGCAAUUACAGCCUUGAGUCUGUGUGGAUAGGUCUCUAUCAGCUUUGCAUAUCUGGACACUGCAAUUUUUUCCCCAUUCUUUACAAAACUGAUCAAGUUCUGUCAUAUUGCUAACUCUAGCCAAGAUUUCACAUAAGCUUUCAAUGAUGGCUUUCUCUUUGCCACUCUCCCAUGAAGCUGUGACUGGUGAAGCACCCAGGCAACAGUUGUUGUAUGCGGAGUCUUUCCUAUCUCAGCCACUGAAGCUUGUUAGUCUCCCAGUGUUGUCAGGCUUCUUAGUGGCCUCCCUCACUAGUCCCCUUUUUGCACAAUCACUCAGUUUUUGAGGACAGCCUGCUCUAGGCAGAUUUACAGCUGUGCCAUAUUCUUUCCAUUUCUUAACAAUUGACUAAACUACUCCAAGGGAUAUUCAGUGACUUGGAAAUUUCCUUGUAUCCAUCUCCUGACUUGUGCUUUUCAAUAACCUUUUGGAGGAGCUGCUUCAAGUGUUCUUUGGUCUUCGUGGUGUAGUUUUGGCCAGGAUACUCAUUCACCUGCAGUUGGACCUUACAGAUAAAGCUGUAUUUUUACUACAAUCAGUUGAAACACCUUGACUCUCCAUUUGGAGAUGUGGAGGUGAUCUCCAUUUAACUAAUUAUGUGACUUCUAAAACCACUUGGCUACACCAGUAAUAAUUUGGUGUGUCAUAUUAGUUGGGGUGUAUACUUAUGCAGUCAAUUACUUUGUAUUAUAUAUUGGUAUAAUUUAGAUCAAUUUGUAGAGAUCUAUUUUCACUUUGACAUGAAAGUUUUUCUGUUGAUCAGUGUCAAAAAAGUCAAAUUAAAUCAUGUGAUUCAAUGUUGAAAGCAAAAUAUGAAAACUUCCAAGGGUUAUGAAUAUUUUUAUAGGAACUGUAUAUAUGCAUACAGUUUAUACAGUAUAUGAUAUAAUACAACCAUGUGGACAUCCACAGCAUGGUAAGUUCUAAAUUGUCCCAUUAAGGUCUAAAGAUUUAAUGGCUGUGAAGGCUUUCUUACUCUUGUGACGUAAUGUCUUUCUUGACAAGGGACAUCAUUCUGUUCAGCAAAUGAGACCUGUGACUGUGAAAACAAUCUUAGGUUCUAGGGCCUCCUCCUUUAUGAGGUGAUUGUAGAAGUUGACUCUGAGACUGCAAUAAGUGGUCUGACAGUUCUGGACACCUUUGUUCUUUUCGCAGCUUUUCCCUCUGGAUUUUCUUCACACCUUGCUUCUCUCCCAUCCUGGCUUCUUUUGCUGUCUUUAUCCCCUUCUCAACGCCUUUCGUGAAUGUGCUCCCUUUCCUUAUCUUUGGUUCUGUCACGAUCCCUAUCAUGGUCUCACUCAUGGUCCCAAUCUCACUCACACUCUCACUUACAUUUUUUCUCUCUAUCUCUUGCCCUUUUCCAACUUGUCUUUUUUCUUGCCUUCCUUUUUCUUUUUUCUAAAUUGUGCAUCUAAAGUUGGGAAGGUUCAUUUAGUUCUUUGAAGUAUUCUCUUACUAAUCCUCCUGUUGCUCCCUUUAUGAUCUGAUCUCUCCACUUGAGUUUCCUCAUCCAUCACAUCAUCUGAUGAACCCUCUGUUUUCACAAUUCCAUUGACUCCUUUCUUUCUGAUCUUUCUGGGCUGUGGUCUUUGCAUCUACUUUUACAUGCAGCUUUUUUGUCUUCCACUUUAAGUUCAUGCAGUUACCUUAAUACACGCAGAGAGAUUCUGGUUCCUAAUGCUGAAAAAAACUGAAUUCUUGCAACUUUCCUGAAGCUCCUUGAACUCUCUUCCAACUUAAAACCAAACCGCAUUUCACAAUUAACUGCCUACUCAACAUAACAGAAACUUUCUCAGAUAUGUUGCCUGCAAAAACUGUUGUAGUCAUACCACUGCCUUCAUCACUUUCACAAUUUCUCUGAGCAUCAUAGUGCUUCCUUGGUCUAAUAGGCUUUCCAACCAGAGGUACAGAGGUUGACACCAACUCCUGUUUGCCUUCUGAUGGGCAGUGGUUCAUGGUGUACAGCAUGGAGGCAGUGUGGCAUCAUCCAGAACCUUUCUUAAUUCGCUUUCAGUUGACUCUAUUACAGGGGAUGAUAGCAUGCAAAUGGUGAAUGGAUCUCCAAUCAAGUUGUAGUUGGCUCAGCCACUCACAUCCUCACAAAGCUGGCCCUCCAAUUCUACCAUAUUCAAGCCCAAUGGGGCUUUCCAUUCCAGAGCAACACAGACAAAUAGCUGGAAGAACUCAGCAGGUUAGGCAGCAUUCAUGAAGGGAAAGGAACAAUCGGCGUUUUAAAAUCACAAGUGAUUCUGCAAAUCAUUAACAUGAGAACACAUGCAAAAUGCUAGAGGAACUCAGCAGGUCAGGCAAUAUCUAUGAAACUAUCUAUGAUAGUUGAUGUUUUGGGCUGAGACCCUUCUUUAGGACUGGAAAGGAAGGGGGAAGGUAACAGUAAGGGAGAGGAAGGUGGAUAGCUAGAAAUUAACUAUAGGUGAAGCCAGGUGGGUGGGAAUGGUAAAGAGCUGGAGAGGAGAGUGGACCAUAGAAGAAAGGGAAAGAGGAGGGGACCAAGAGGAAGGUGAUAGGCAAGUGAUAAGAGUCCAGAGUGGGAAAUAGAAGAGUGGAAGGGGAUGGAAUUUUUUUUUACCUGAAGGAGAAAUUGACAUUCAUGCUUCAGGUUGGAGGCAACCCAGAUGGAAUAUAAGGUGUUGCUCUUUCACCCAGAGGAUGGCUUCAUUGGCUCACAAGAGGAAACCAUAGACCAACAUGUUGGAACAGGAAUGUAAGUCGGAAUUAAAAUGUUUGGCUACUGGAAAGUUCUACUUUUGGCAGAUGGAGACAAGGUGCUCGACGAAGUGGUCACCCAAUUUAUGACAGGUCUCGCCAAUGUAGUGGAAAUUCAGAGUAACAUAUGCAAAAUACUGGAGAAACUCAGCAGUUCAGGCAGCGUCCAUGGAGGGAAAUGAACAGUUGACGUUUCGAUGAGCUCUGAGGAGACAUUGACUAUUCGCUUUCCUCUGUAAAUGCUUCCUGACCUUGAUGCUGCAUCCCUUGUGUCUCCAUUUUCCAUUCUGUUUUUCUUCCUAACAAUGCAGUUCAGUGUGUGACAUUUUAAGUACAUGUCUGAAUCCAUGGAGAUAAAAAUGUACAUUCAAUAAUGAUGCAUUUACUUUAAUGCCCUACACACUACCUCCCAUGAUAAGUGUUGAGGCUAAAAUGCCAAUUAGUUUCUGUUCUAAAUGAUGCCAGCAAAGCUUAUUUGCUGAUUCACUGGUGUUUUGGAGAAUGGGAUUGGAUAGGGGAUAGGUGACUGAACAUGUCAGCUGAUUAUUAAACUUGUCAUUAUCGAGUUCUGCUUCCGCUCCAAGUGUGGCUCUGGUUAAAUAUGACAUCCUCAAUAUUUCCGUUGGGCUAGAUCCAUUCUGAAAGAAAACAAAAAACAUUGAGAUCAAAGAAAUUUGUAACUGGGGUGGGGGGAGAGCAUGCUUACUGAGAAUUAGUGAAAUGUAAUGCAGCAGCUAUCAACAGAAAUAAAUAUACAGUGUGGUUAGUUUUGCAUUCUUUUGUCAACCUUGUGUCGUGUGAAUUAUUUUCAUCAAUAUUUUUUGUUCCUGUUCAGAUUUAUUUUAUGUUCGCACCGGAAGCAAGUGACACUCACGAACUGCUCCCAGUGUAAUCCUCGGACUGUGUUGGUUGUCAACUCAAACAUACGUAUUUCACUGUAUGUUUCGAUGUUUUGAUAUCAUCAUCAUCAUCAUGUGCUGUGUCAUAUGACAUGGAUGAUCAUGAUCUCAUGACCAUGAUUGUUCUUGGCAAUUUUUUCUACAGAAGUGGUUUGCCAUUGCCUUCUUCUGGGCAGCGUGUUCUCAAGACGGGUGACCGCAGCCAUUAUUAAUACUCCCCAGAGAUUGUCUGCCUGGCAUCAGUGGUCGCAUAACCUUCUGAUCUGCACCAGCUGCUCGUACAACCAGCCACAACCCACUGCCAUGGCUUCACAUGACCCUGAUUAGGGUGGGAGGGGGUUCUAGGCAGGUACUACACCUUGCCCUGCAGGCUAGCGGAGUGAAGGAGCGCCUUACACCUCCUUUGGUGGAGAUGUAUCUCCACCCUGCUACCCAGGUUACACGUGAUAAGUAAAAUAAAUUUUUUCUAGUAUUUAUGAAUGUCUUGAAUUUUGCACAAAUAUUCCUCUUAAAAAUGUUUCCCUGUUAAAUUAAGGAGGUAGAACAAAUUUCUGAUAUCUGGGAAAAUUGUAUUUAUGUAUCUGCCUAUGCAUGUUUGUGAAUGCACAUUGUUAACAAUUAGAAGCUGAUUUUAGAUCAUGAGCUGGGUGUAGAUCCCCUGUAUUAAGAAUGUUCAGUUAGUUUUAUACUGAGUAUCGGGCUUCAUUUAAUCUAAGUGGUCAAAGUCUGAUUGUCCUUAUUAUUAAUGGAUUAUGCAAGUAUUUUACCCCUUCAUAUUAUCUUACCUUGUUUUUGAAUUUAGAUGAAUCUAGGACAUUGGGGUUUCAAAUGACCCCUGACUCUGCUUGGUUCCUUGUCCUCUGAAAAUUCUUAAUCUGAUUCUGCUCAGUCCUACACGGAGGUGCUGCUCAGUGUACUGACAUCUUAAAUAUUUAACUCCAGAGUGCAUCUUCCUGUGGAUUGGGAUGAAACCACCCCACAGUAUUAAUUAAAAACACGGCACAGGAGAAUUUUGAAAGCACACAGGUCAGGCAUGGUCUGGAAGGGGUUAUUGUUCUAAUCAGGGCUACAAUAAUGAAGUUGGAUUUGUAUGGCCACAGAGCAAAGGCUGGGAAAUAGAAGUAGUUUCAGUAAUAUGAACAUGGUGAGCUGGAGUUGGUAAUGGGAUGAGCUCCCACUGCCAAUUAAAUUAUUAAAUGCCCCCAAUGGCGGUGCCUCAAAUAGCCUCUAACAAUCAAGUCCAGCUUCUGGCCUUCACAUGUGGCUUAAUUACCAAGCCCAGUGGAACCAUUUCUAUUGACAGGAGAAGGGGCAAUAGAAGGUUAGUGGCACCUUAAAACCAAUCACUUUGGGCAGAUAGGGAUAGUCUGCUAUGGUUGGCAGGCCAUCGAGGAGAAGGCAAACUCUGAUCUCGUAUCUCCACUGCCUUGCAGCUGUAACCACUCACGGGAAAGGCUUCAGGAGUGAACUCUGAGGGGAAGAUCUGGAGCAGGAGUCCCUAAGGCUACAUCAAGUUCAAAGAUGUUAUUGAAGGACAAGAUGGUGCUGGUGAUAUAUGGCAGCUGUCAUAUAACUGCUAGAUAUUCUACUAGAUGAUUCGGUGAACCUGACUCUUAGGUACAGCACCUUAAAGCUUACGAAGUUUGGCCAUCUUUGGAAGAGAGGGCACCAGGGUGGACUUCGAGUCAGAUUAAAGUGCCAAGGCCCGAGAGUGGAAAAUAAGCCAGUGUUCAGCCCCACUACUCUGCACCAAACAAGAUCUCUUACCUGGGCCCAUGCCAACUGCCUGCGUUUGACCCGUCUCCCUCUCUUCUUGAUACUACCAUUGGGCAGGUGCUGCGGUCGUCUUGGGUCAACUGUUUGGAAACAGUUAUUGCCCUCCAACCAUCGAGGUCUUGGACUGGUAUGGAUGGCUUUCCUCGCUUCAGUGCUGAAUUGACUCCACAUCCGGGGAGUCCACGACUUUUGGGGACUCUGCAACUCAUGCUCUCAGUAUUAUGUGUUAACUUUUUUUAUUAGUUGCACAAUUUUUCCUCUUUUCUGCAUUGGAUAGAAACAUAGAAAACCUAUAGCACAAUACAGGUCCUUUGGUGCCAAACAUGUCCAUACCUUAAAAAUUGCUAGGCUUACCUAUAGCCCUCUAUUUUUCUAAGCUCCAUGUACCUAUAUAAAAGCCUCUUAAAGACCCUACCGUAUCCACCUCCACCACCGUUGCCAGCAGCCCAUUCCACGCAGUCACCACUCUCUGAGUAAAAAACUUACUCCCCAACUCCUUAAACCUGUGUCCUCUUGUGGCAACCAUUUCAGCCCUGGGAAAAAGCCUCUGACUAUCCACACAAUCAAUGCCUCUCAUCAUCUUAUACACCUCUAUCAGGUCACCUCUCAUCCUCCGUCACUCGAAGGAGAAAAGGCUGA
Hypanus sabinus (Atlantic stingray) is the source of this 6829-nucleotide long non-coding RNA. RefSeq lists it as uncharacterized. Lineage: Eukaryota; Metazoa; Chordata; Chondrichthyes; Myliobatiformes; Dasyatidae. The record is from RefSeq and is a predicted model, not a curated record. The transcript has 3 exons.